GAUGAACGCUGGCGGCGUGCCUAAUACAUGCAAGUCGAGCGAACGGACGAGAAGCUUGCUUUUCUGAUGUUAGCGGCGGACGGGUGAGUAACACGUGGAUAACCUACCUAUAAGACUGGGAUAACUUCGGGAAACCGGAGCUAAUACCGGAUAAUAUUUUGAACCGCAUGGUUCAAAAGUGAAAGAAGGUCUUGCUGUCACUUAUAGAUGGAUCCGCGCUGCAUUAGCUAGUUGGUAAGGUAACGGCUUACCAAGGCAACGAUGCAUAGCCGACCUGAGAGGGUGGUCGGCCACACUGGAACUGAGACACGGUCCAGACUCCGACGGGAGGCAGCAGUAGGGAAUCUUCCGCGAGGGACGAAAGGCGGACGGAGCAACGCCGCGGGAGUGAUGAAGGUCUUCGGAUCGGAGAACGCUGUUAGUAGGGAAGAACAUAUGUUUAAGUAACGGUGCACAUCUUGACGGUACCUAAACAAAAAGCCACGGCUAACUACGUG
This 497-nucleotide ribosomal RNA is filed under the name uncultured bacterium. RNAcentral's name for it is "partial 16S ribosomal RNA". It matches the Rfam family "Bacterial small subunit ribosomal RNA", at positions 28 to 507 of the family's 1533-position model. The record is from RNAcentral.